This is a non-coding RNA of Misgurnus anguillicaudatus (oriental weatherfish), 479 nucleotides long. Lineage: Eukaryota; Metazoa; Chordata; Actinopteri; Cypriniformes; Cobitidae. The record is from RefSeq and is a predicted model, not a curated record.
GCCGUAACAAAAGCAGGAGAGGGAAAGUACAAGGCUAUGUUCCCAAAACACACGAGUGACAUACCUUAUGUGGAUGAUGUGAUCAGGCUUGUGUUUGAUGAGGUAUUUGAAGAUAAGCUGAAGGAAACCCUGAUUCCGAUGGACCUGGCAUCACAGUUUGAGAGACCUUCAAAGGAGGACGUGAUUGCAUGCCAUCUUCAGUGCAGGGGUCGUCGAAAGCCAAAAUUGUGACCGAUCUGAUCAGGAAGCUCCAAGCAUAUCUGGAGAACAACACACGACAGGAUGAUAACCUUAUAGUGUCGUCUUAAAUAGCACCAGCUUUGAUAUGCCAUUUAUCUGAAUAGAUAGCUGUAAGAAAUUAAUUGAACAAUUUUUGAAACAAGAGCACAAUAUGGUUACUAAAGUAUGUUUAUUUGUAUAUUGUUUAACAUUUAAAUAUAUAUUUGUAAUAAAUUAAAAAAAAACUUUUGACUGACUAU